This 532-nucleotide ribosomal RNA is filed under the name uncultured Vibrio sp. RNAcentral describes it as "bacterial SSU rRNA". It matches the Rfam family "Bacterial small subunit ribosomal RNA", at positions 56 to 569 of the family's 1533-position model. The record is from RNAcentral. Lineage: Bacteria; Pseudomonadati; Pseudomonadota; Gammaproteobacteria; Vibrionales; Vibrionaceae.
UGCAGUCGAGCGGAACGAGUUAUCUGAACCUUCGGGGAACGAUAACGGCGUCGAGCGGCGGACGGGUGAGUAAUGCCUGGGAAUAUGCCUUGAUGUGGGGGAUAACUAUUGGAAACGAUAGCUAAUACCGCAUAAUGCCUUCGGGCCAAAGAGGGGGACCUUCGGGCCUCUCGCGUCAAGAUUAGCCCAGGUGGGAUUAGCUAGUUGGUGAGGUAAAGGCUCACCAAGGCGACGAUCCCUAGCUGGUCUGAGAGGAUGAUCAGCCACACUGGAACUGAGACACGGUCCAGACUCCUACGGGAGGCAGCAGUGGGGAAUAUUGCACAAUGGGCGCAAGCCUGAUGCAGCCAUGCCGCGUGUAUGAAGAAGGCCUUCGGGUUGUAAAGUACUUUCAGUUGUGAGGAAGGUAGUGUGUUUAAUAGAUGCAUUGCUUGACGUUAGCAACAGAAGAAGCACCGGCUAACUCCGUGCCAGCAGCCGCGGUAAUACGGAGGGUGCGAGCGUUAAUCGGAAUUACUGGGCGUAAAGCGCA